CCUGCCCAAGAGCCCAGCCCCACGGAGAAGCGCUUGAAGGCCUUUUCCCCAGGAGUCCAGCCCUCCCUCCUCUGCCUCCACAGAACCUGGGAAGUGCCAGACGGAGGGAAGAAACUGGACAGCUCUGAGAGAGGGCAGGACCUCCAAGACUGCUGGAGUUUUCCUUGCCUUUCCCCUUUCAGCAGUGCUGGGAAGCAAAGCUUUGUGGCUGAGAGAGUGGACCCACUGCCCACGCUAACGCAGGCCCCUGGAGGCUCAGAGGUGGAAAUUGGGGAUCGGAAGUGGAGGCCGAGAGAGAGAUUCCUCCGUCGCCACCCCUUUCCAUUAAGGAUACACCUUUCUCCCAGGGUGCUCAGCACGUGGGAAUCUUACUUUCUAAACCAUCACCCCCUGCACUGGAAGCACAGAGUCUUAACAACUAGACUGCCAAGAAGUCCCAGAUUUCUUCUUUUUGUAUUCCUUGUUUUACACAUCAGUUCCAGAGAAGGUUCCGCUGAAGCCCCAGAGAAACCACCCAGAGGCCUUUGAAAGCCAGAGGGGCAUAUUUUCUCUGAAGCUCAAUGCCAACUGGUUUUACCAACCCUUAUCCGUUAAGAACAAUCUCAGUGAAGCCGCAUCAAACAAAACAACAGGC
RNAcentral lists this long non-coding RNA (634 nucleotides) under Capra hircus (goat). RNAcentral's name for it is "lncRNA (ENSCHIG00000001889.1)". Lineage: Eukaryota; Metazoa; Chordata; Mammalia; Artiodactyla; Bovidae. The record is from RNAcentral.